UACGUAGGGUGCAAGCGUUGUCCGGAAUUAUUGGGCGUAAAGAGCUCGUAGGCGGUUCGUCGCGUCGGCUGUGAAAUCCCGAGGCUCAACCUCGGGUCUGCAGUCGAUACGGGCGGACUGGAGUUCGGCAGGGGAGACUGGAAUUCCUGGUGUAGCGGUGAAAUGCGCAGAUAUCAGGAGGAACACCGGUGGCGAAGGCAGGUCUCUGGGCAUUAACUGACGCUGAGGAGCGAAAGCAUGGGGAGCGAACAGG
Molecule: ribosomal RNA, 253 nt
Filed under: uncultured bacterium
Lineage: Bacteria
Description: partial 16S ribosomal RNA
Rfam family: Bacterial small subunit ribosomal RNA
Source: RNAcentral